Molecule: non-coding RNA, 225 nt
Filed under: Christensenella minuta
Lineage: Bacteria; Bacillati; Bacillota; Clostridia; Christensenellales; Christensenellaceae
Description: T-box sequence
Rfam family: T-box leader
About the family: Uncharged tRNA acts as the effector for transcription antitermination of genes in the T-box leader family. T-boxes are found upstream of many aminoacyl-tRNA synthetase genes and some amino acid biosynthetic genes usually in Gram-positive bacteria. The anticodon of a specific tRNA base pairs to a specifier sequence within the T-box motif, and the NCCA acceptor tail of the tRNA base pairs to a conserved bulge in the T-box antiterminator hairpin.
Source: RNAcentral
GUAAAGGUGAUGAAAUGGAGAGUAACCGUAUGCCUUGCGACAAGAGAGCGGCCGCCGCGGCUGAAAGCGGCUGUGCGUUUAAGAUGCGGUGAAGAACACCAUGGAGCUUCCGUUGUGAAAGCAGUUUUGUGAUUAGCUGCGGGCGCAGGCCGGCGUUAUUGGCAAGAGCGGAGAAACUUGUUUCUCAACAUGGGUGGUACCGCGGAUUUUAACUUCGUCCCUGUC